Molecule: small nucleolar RNA, 90 nt
Filed under: Papio anubis (olive baboon)
Lineage: Eukaryota; Metazoa; Chordata; Mammalia; Primates; Cercopithecidae
Description: Small nucleolar RNA SNORD116 (ENSPANG00000040271.1)
Rfam family: Small nucleolar RNA SNORD116
About the family: HBII-85 is a member of the C/D class of snoRNAs, which contain the C (UGAUGA) and D (CUGA) box motifs. HBII-85 is encoded in a tandemly repeated array with another C/D snoRNA, HBII-52, in the Prader-Willi syndrome (PWS) region of chromosome 15.
Source: Rfam by way of RNAcentral
GGAUCGAAGGAUGACUUCCAUGUACAUUCCUUGAAAGCUGGAACAAAAUGAGGAAAACUCUAUAACGGCCAUCCUCACGAACUGAGGUCC